AGAGACUGAAAAUAAGAAAGGGGUGAGGCCUAAGGGACAAUCAGGAUGUUUUUCAGAGAGAAGUGUGGAUGCUGGACAGGAAGAACCACAGAUACCAGAUACGGACAAAACCUGAAAAUCUCUAAUCUGCAUGUGUUCAGCUGCGUAUCUUCUGGAUACGGAAGGAUCACACUGCACAGAGUGCUGGACUUGCAGGAGCCCCGCUUCUCAACCUCCAUCGCUUUAUGAAUGAAUUCACCAGAAAGAAAAGGAAGAAUCAACACUUUCAGAGAUGGAGCCUGUUGAGCCACAGUACCAACUAGUCAAUGCUGAAUCGACUUCUCCCUUUCUACAUUGCCUGAGAGAAGUCAUUGGGGAAUACUCUGUACACGAAUUUUCACUGUUGGGGAAAACAGAGAGUCAAGGGAUUGGAUUGUGGAUUGCAUUGGUGGUUUUCCUCAGUUUCCUCAUCUUCUCCACAAGUUUCUACAUAUCGAAUGCAGAGCAGCCCUUCUUCAAAGGACCUCCUACGGAAGCUGCUAAGGAACUCAGUCUGUAGCUCUGCGUGGAGCCAUGUGUAAACACUGAACUGAGACCUGCCACCUCCUACUACCUAAGGGCCCAUUUUCAUCUGAUAUCAUCCCCCAGAAACAAACUCAUGAUGACUUCCAUGUUUUUUUUAGAUUAGAUACAUGGAGAAUUUUCCUUUCCCUUAGAAUUAAAAUCCUGCA
RNAcentral lists this long non-coding RNA (710 nucleotides) under Homo sapiens (human). RNAcentral's name for it is "HSALNT0371357". The record is from RNAcentral. Lineage: Eukaryota; Metazoa; Chordata; Mammalia; Primates; Hominidae.